This is a long non-coding RNA of Ostrea edulis (European flat oyster), 807 nucleotides long. RefSeq lists it as uncharacterized. The record is from RefSeq and is a predicted model, not a curated record. Lineage: Eukaryota; Metazoa; Mollusca; Bivalvia; Ostreida; Ostreidae. The transcript has 2 exons.
UAGCCAAAAAGUCCAAAACACUCUCAAUGCACGGAUACAUAGGCUGGUCACUAUAGGACCCCAGAAAACUAUGAAUGCACGGAUACAUAGGCUGAUCACUAUAGGACCCCCAGAAAACUAUAAAUGCACGGAUACACAGACUGAUCAGUAUAGGACCCCAGAAAACUAUCAAUGCACGGACACACAGGCUGAUCGUUAUAGGGUCCCGUUUAUAUAACAUGGGUCAUAAUUAAUUGUUGUAAUUUGAUGGACCAAGUCUGGCCUUUUGUAAAAAUUAAUUGAUCCUUAAUUACAGGAAAUUCAGUUUUACGUGAUUUUAAUUUUUCACUGUUUGUUUUGUAGAAUUGUGGAGAUCUAGAUUUAAAUAUGUGUUGUUCAUUGACAUGAUAAACAAAAGACUGUGACCUUGUAUCUGAAGAUCUGUCUUGAAAGCCGGACGUUUUGGAUCACUCUCUGUUAUUGUACAACAUAUUUAACAGUGACACACUCAGCCACAAAGAGGUUGUCUCUGAUGUCCAUACAUAAACCAUAUGGACGGCUUAAAUCACAGUGAAUGUAACGGAGGAACUGUCCGUCCUGAUCUAGGAUGUGGAUACACUGAUUGUGAAAGUCUGACGUCAGGAUGUGACUCUGGCUGUCUGCAGUGAUGCCGACUGGAUUAGAUAUUAGAAGGAUAGCCAGUGUAUCUAAAUCGGAGUUUUCCUGACUUAUUUACCACCACUACAGCUUUAGCUCCACUGUCAGCCACACAGAUGUCCAUAUUCUUGUUCUCAUUGAUGUAUUUAAUAAAAUUAUCAGAUGAAUAGA